GGUCCCUUUCGUCCAGUGGUUAGGACAUCGUCUUUUCAUGUCGAAGACACGGGUUCGAUUCCCGUAAGGGAUGGCUACUCUUUCCCGGCCGCUUUCAGUUAGUGUUCAUUGCUGAGUGAUCGCUCGCUAUCUGGCUUGAAAAGGUGGUCCGGAAGCUUUCUCUCUCCCAGCAAGCAAGACGAGAUCACCACUUCUCUCAGUAAUGGACUUCCUUUAAUUCUUCCUUAGCCUUAGAUGUCCUAUCAUAGAUUAUCGAACCUCCGACAGACAGAAUCCCCAUGCAUGCGUUCUUUCUCUCCUCCCCUCAGCCAUACAUCUCUUUUUUUUUUCUUUUGGCCGUUUUUCUUAGGCAUUGAACCCCACCUUAGGUGCUGAGUGGUGUCCUCCCCUCCCUAAUACCUAAAAAAAAGUUCCGUCUAUGGAGCUUAAAGCUUAAACCAUGGCAUGCUUGACUCAGAAUUGGCAGCAGUAAGUUGGCCUAGUCUCUUGCCCAGCCUUCGCCUUCUUCAGUGGCCAAGUUGAAGCGUUCAACGGUUCUUCGGCCUACCACCUUUCUUUUUCAAGGUUGAGCUUGUUCAAUGGAAGCUAAUGCUAUGCUGCCCUUCCCUUGUUCACAACAGAGAAGGCGAGGACUUUCUUUUAGCUACCGGCCCAAACAAAAGAGAUUAGCCUCUUGAUCGAUCGAUUGAUUGGAUUGCAGUACGAAGGGGUUUAAGAAGGAGGCAUUGGAGAGAAGUAGGCAUGGUGGCCAACCAAGGCAGUGAAAUCGAGACAAUCAGUCAAGUUAGGAAGAGGGUUUAGUUAGGAGUCCGGGUUCCAUCCUAUAAGUUGAAGGAAGGGAGCAAAGGAAGUUCUCUUUGCCCUUAGUCUUGGGUUCAGUGAAUAGGGAACUUAGGUUUGUCUUAUUCCCUAGCUGAGUGAAUAGGCCGAUCUUUCGUAUAGUGAUAACGCUUUCUCUUUCUUAUAGGGGUCUCUUUUCUCUGACUUGACUCAGCUUGACCUACUUGACUCAGCGGUUAGAGUAUCGCUUUCAUACGGCGAGAGUCAUUGGUUCAAAUCCAAUAGUAGGUAAGGCCGAAAGCCCUGCUUUUGCCAGCAUGACAGCAAGCACGGAUUCCGACUGGCGGAGUUGAAUGACCAAAGCAUCGUCCGCAUGCGAAUCCGCC
This is a non-coding RNA of Lupinus albus (white lupine), 1166 nucleotides long. NCBI's taxonomy places the organism in Eukaryota, Viridiplantae, Streptophyta, Magnoliopsida, Fabales, Fabaceae. The record is from the annotation of a GenBank genome assembly.